This 118-nucleotide ribosomal RNA is filed under the name Bacillus licheniformis. RNAcentral's name for it is "partial 16S ribosomal RNA". It matches the Rfam family "Bacterial small subunit ribosomal RNA", at positions 1 to 115 of the family's 1533-position model. The record is from RNAcentral. Lineage: Bacteria; Bacillati; Bacillota; Bacilli; Caryophanales; Bacillaceae.
UUCAUGGAGAGUUUGAUCCUGGCUCAGGACGAACGCUGGCGGCGUGCCUAAUACAUGCAAGUCGAGCGGACCGACGGGAGCUUGCUCCCUUAGGUCAGCGGCGGACGGGUGAGUAACA